This 213-nucleotide long non-coding RNA is filed under the name Elaeis guineensis (African oil palm). Its description in RNAcentral is "long non-coding RNA (EGUI_LNC054786)". The record is from RNAcentral. Lineage: Eukaryota; Viridiplantae; Streptophyta; Magnoliopsida; Arecales; Arecaceae.
GGGUCGUCGGUCAGUGACGGGCCGAGUCGGCUGGUCCCUCCAAAAUUUGUCGAGAUAUCCCCGACGUAUGAGGGUCUCGAUCUCAUCCUUGAGUUGGAUGCACUGCUCGAUGUUGUGGCCAUGGCCCCAAUGAAAUUGACAGUACUUUCGUCGAUCGAGGCCCUUUGCCUUCAGAGGCGGAGGCGUCGCAGAUAUUUUUCCCCUUCGAUCUCC